This 740-nucleotide long non-coding RNA is filed under the name Rattus norvegicus (Norway rat). RNAcentral describes it as "long non-coding RNA NONRATT018326". The record is from RNAcentral. Lineage: Eukaryota; Metazoa; Chordata; Mammalia; Rodentia; Muridae.
GCCAUGGUGGGGCCCCUGCACGGAGAUCCCUUCUGGGUGAGUGCUGGUUGAACAUGGAGUCCAGGGGACACUUCUCCUAGUACUGGGGAAGGGGGCAGUGUUGGUUUGUGCCAGAACCCCUCACUCCUCACAUCUCAACCAGGAGGUGCCUUGGAGAUACCUAAUCUGGGUCUGUCAGGUUGGCUGCUCAUCAGAACCCUUCCCAGAGUGUUCUAAACCACAUGUCUCAGAUCAGUCUCUCUCCUGACCUGGUUCCAACAGUCUGCUUGUAUUGUAUUUUAUUAAACUUUAGCAUGUUUGUGGUGAGUGUGCAUGACUAUAUCCAUGCGUGUGUAUGUGCAUGUGUGUAUGCAUGUGUGUGGGGGGGGGCACAGUUGACAUUGAGAACACUCUUUGAUUGUUCUCCACUUUAUUCCCUGAGGCAAGGCCUUUUAGUUGGGCUCAGAGCUUAACAGUGUGAAUACCUUAGUUAAGCAGUUUUCUCCAGGCAACUGGAAUUACAUGUGGUCCACCACUCCCACUAAGUGUUAAUAUGAUUUGGGGGAUCUGGACUCUGGUCCUCAUGCAUGUGCUGAAGUAGCUUUUGCCACUGAUUUGUCUUUUUUUAAAAAUUUAUUUAUUUAUUAUAUAUAAGUACACUGUAGCUGUCUUCAGACACACCAGAAGAGGGCAUCAGAUCUCUUUACAGAUGGUUGUGAGCCACCAUGUGGUUGCUGGGAAUUGAACUCAUGACCUCUGGA